RNAcentral lists this unclassified non-coding RNA (757 nucleotides) under Hevea brasiliensis (rubber tree). Lineage: Eukaryota; Viridiplantae; Streptophyta; Magnoliopsida; Malpighiales; Euphorbiaceae. The record is from RNAcentral.
AACAAGAGAAAUAGUCUAUCCAUACUGAUUCCUUCAGGCACAUUAAACCAUUGUCUUGAUCAGGAUAAAAGGAGUUAAUCUGAACUUUCUUGUGAGAUUUUCUAAUUAAAACAUGCAUAAUAUUAAUAUCAACAGUUGCUCUUCUCCGUCUUUGCCAUUACAGAAAGGAAAAGAAAAAAGAGUUAUAAUAAUAAUAAUUAAAAUAACCAAAUAAAGAACAUAAUAUACAACCUAUUAAAAGAAGAAUACACCACAGCACCAACCCAGCCAUAUUGCUCUUCUCACUAAUCUUCAUUGUCUUACACAAACAAAACCCUUCUAGAGCUGGAUAUGCAAGGCAAAACAAUCCGAAUCCAAGAACUCAACCUCUCUUCUGGCAAACCACCUACCCAUAAGAAGCAGACGCUUUUAAUCCUCAAGAGCCAAGUUUGCAGAAUGAUUAUACUUGGCCUCCCAGCAGACAAACAAACCGCGACCCUGCGAAAAACACUAACGCAUUUGACAUAUGCCCCGGAUUACCAAAUGGAACCUAUAUUUCAGGUGGAGCUAACCAACCAUCUGCGAAGAGUUCAUUUCCUUAGAUCUCUGAACAGCGAAAAAGCUCAAGCUUGAUUCAUCCCGAAUCCUAAUCUCCACAUCAAGUCCUGACUUUAUGCAUAAGAUUAUUGCUGUAGAUGUCAAAAAAACGAAGUUUCACUUCACCGUGGUGGAAGAGCCACGUUGCGAAGCCUUCUCUGCCACAUGAAUUUUUCUCGGC